GUCGCUACCCGGGACUGAGCGAUCUGGAAAGCCUGCAGGACCGAUUUCUGUGGGGCCUUGUGCUCUAUUGUUGUUGGGAAUGCAAGCUAUCCCGAUGGCUUGAACCGGGUAA
RNAcentral lists this ribosomal RNA (112 nucleotides) under uncultured eukaryote. RNAcentral describes it as "partial small subunit ribosomal RNA". The record is from RNAcentral.